AGCUUCAGUUGGAGAAGGGCGGUGGCGAGAGAAGCUCGUGAGAUGAGGCGAACAUCAAUGAACACAAUAUUCUGGUGCAGACCAUAUCAACAGAUGGACACCUCCGAUAGAGAAGUGUCAUACUCUGGUCGACAAAGUCAAUAUCAUAAAAUGAGGUCCCCAAAACAAUAUUUAACUACAAUCAAACGUUACAAUUGGUGGUGGAUCAAAUCGUGACGCAACACUGAUGACAUCGAUGUUUAGUUAUUGUGUCAGAACAUCCAACUUACUCAGGGUUGUUAGUCAGGUCUAUUGUUACAGCUGUCCAGCCUCUUGGAAACCCAGACUUCGGGGACUGUGUCUCUGGCUCAGUGGGGGCUGGUUCAGCUUAGUUAGAUGGGUUUGUUGGAUGUUCAAGAUAUAAUUUUGGGAGAAGUAAACCCCCUCAAUCAGUUGUCAGCAGCUGAUCAAAUUCAAAUAACCCAAACAGUAGGUUAAAAGCAGUCUUUUCUCGGUAUUUUUCAUUCAUUUUCACCUGCCAUUAUCCACUAAAUCCAGGGUCGAAAACAGACUUGCCCCCUGCAGUGCGUCCAAAGAUUCCUCAAUAUGCGCUAACGGGAAUGCUAAAUGUGUUUUUGCAUUCAGUUUAUGAUAGUGUUCACAAAAUCUUAACCCUCCAUCUUUCUUACGGACUAGCACAACAGGGACUACAACUCUCCCAGAUCACGCCAUGCUCUAGCAUAUCAUUAACGUGGUGCUUAACUUCCUGGUACAGAGCAGGAGGAAUUCUUCUGUAAGGCUUUCUCGUGGGAGGUGAAUCACCAGUUGGUAUUUUAUGAGUAACUGCAUCUGUACAGCCGAAAUCAUGUUUAUGUGAGGAGAACACAUCAGAAUGCUCAUCUAAAAACUUCUCCAGUUUUUCUUUUUGUUCUGCCGU
This is a long non-coding RNA of Branchiostoma floridae (Florida lancelet), 916 nucleotides long. RefSeq lists it as uncharacterized. The record is from RefSeq and is a predicted model, not a curated record. The transcript is spliced from 2 exons. Lineage: Eukaryota; Metazoa; Chordata; Leptocardii; Amphioxiformes; Branchiostomatidae.